RNAcentral lists this ribosomal RNA (465 nucleotides) under Vreelandella stevensii. RNAcentral describes it as "partial 16S ribosomal RNA". It matches the Rfam family "Bacterial small subunit ribosomal RNA", at positions 338 to 795 of the family's 1533-position model. The record is from RNAcentral. Lineage: Bacteria; Pseudomonadati; Pseudomonadota; Gammaproteobacteria; Oceanospirillales; Halomonadaceae.
CCUACGGGAGGCUGCAGUGGGGAAUAUUGGACAAUGGGGGCAACCCUGAUCCAGCCAUGCCGCGUGUGUGAAGAAGGCCCUCGGGUUGUAAAGCACUUUCAGUGAGGAAGAACGCCUGGUGGUUAAUACCCAUCAGGAAAGACAUCACUCACAGAAGAAGCACCGGCUAACUCCGUGCCAGCAGCCGCGGUAAUACGGAGGGUGCGAGCGUUAAUCGGAAUUACUGGGCGUAAAGCGCGCGUAGGUGGCUUGAUAAGCCGGUUGUGAAAGCCCCGGGCUCAACCUGGGAACGGCAUCCGGAACUGUCAAGCUAGAGUGCAGGGGAGGAAGGUAGAAUUCCCGGUGUAGCGGUGAAAUGCGUAGAGAUCGGGAGGAAUACCAGUGGCGAAGGCGGCCUUCUGGACUGACGCUGACACUGAGGUGCGAAAGCGUGGGUAGCAAACAGGAUUAGAUACCCCGGUAGUC